AUUUAAGUAGUUUAUAAAAAAAUAAAGAGUUGUGGUUUCUUAGAAACUAAAUAGUCUUAAAUU
Molecule: transfer RNA, 63 nt
Filed under: Ghauriana sinensis
Lineage: Eukaryota; Metazoa; Arthropoda; Insecta; Hemiptera; Cicadellidae
Description: tRNA-His
Source: RNAcentral